UACGAAGGGGGCUAGCGUUGCUCGGAAUCACUGGGCGUAAAGCGCACGUAGGCGGAUCUUUAAGUCAGGGGUGAAAUCCUGGAGCUCAACUCCAGAACUGCCUUUGAUACUGAGGAUCUCGAGUCCGGGAGAGGUGAGUGGAACUGCGAGUGUAGAGGUGAAAUUCGUAGAUAUUCGCAAGAACACCAGUGGCGAAGGCGGCUCACUGGCCCGGUACUGACGCUGAGGUGCGAAAGCUAGGGGAGCAAACGGG
RNAcentral lists this ribosomal RNA (253 nucleotides) under uncultured bacterium. RNAcentral's name for it is "partial 16S ribosomal RNA". It matches the Rfam family "Bacterial small subunit ribosomal RNA", at positions 524 to 776 of the family's 1533-position model. The record is from RNAcentral.